UUGAGUCAAAUGCUGCAC
RNAcentral lists this microRNA (18 nucleotides) under Chiloscyllium plagiosum (whitespotted bambooshark). RNAcentral's name for it is "microRNA PC-5p-146236_3". Lineage: Eukaryota; Metazoa; Chordata; Chondrichthyes; Orectolobiformes; Hemiscylliidae. The record is from RNAcentral.